Molecule: ribosomal RNA, 351 nt
Filed under: Triticum aestivum (bread wheat)
Lineage: Eukaryota; Viridiplantae; Streptophyta; Magnoliopsida; Poales; Poaceae
Description: partial small subunit ribosomal RNA
Source: RNAcentral
GCUACGCUUGCCUCCUUCGGGGAGCCCACGGGCUUGGUCACCAACUGCUCUAAGAGUCUGGUUGCACCAAUCCGGUGCGAGGGCGUUGAUCUUGAUGACAUCUUGCAGUCUUUCCCGGCCUGCCGCUCUUCCUUCCCCAUCCGUUAUCUGGGUUUACCACUUGCGAUCAGAAGGUUGAGGAGGGUCCACUUGCAACACUUAGAAGAUAAAGCUGCCGGGAAGCUUGCACCGUGGAGGGGGAGGCAUGUUGCUAUUGCGGGUCGAAUGACCCUUGUCAAAGCGGUGCUCACGGCUGUGGAAAUCUAUCAUCUUACACCGCUUGACCUUCCGAUGGAGGUGUCGUGGAUCUAA